AGUGGCUUCUGGAAUUCCGCUCCCAGCCUACCCAACAGUUUGUGCUUUAGGAUCAAGAUGCCCUCACUCUGGGACCUGGCUGAGCCCUGUGAGGAAGGUAACUCAAGCCAUCAGGAGCUGCCUUUCUGGAUUUGCACUUCAUAGUUCUGAUUGACAUGGUACCUACCUACACAUGGAAGAAAGAGUCAAGGAUCAAGAAAACUAGUGAUGUGUAUCUCUAUUCUAUCCAUGUUUAUGAUAAAGGUUAAUGAAUGGUAGAAAUAUAUUGCCUUUCUAUAGAGCCUCACUUACAUGCUUGGGCUAAUAGUUUUUUUUUGUUUUGUUUUAAUAGUAUUUAU
Molecule: long non-coding RNA, 338 nt
Organism: Ornithorhynchus anatinus (platypus)
Lineage: Eukaryota; Metazoa; Chordata; Mammalia; Monotremata; Ornithorhynchidae
Exons: 3
Source: RefSeq, a predicted model, not a curated record